Molecule: ribosomal RNA, 782 nt
Filed under: Planctomycetes bacterium SCGC AAA170-P16
Lineage: Bacteria; Pseudomonadati; Planctomycetota
Description: bacterial SSU rRNA
Rfam family: Bacterial small subunit ribosomal RNA
Source: RNAcentral
GUUGGUUAGCUUGCUAACCGGCGGACAGCGGCGGAAGGGAGAGUAACGCGUGGUUAUGUGCCCUGAAGACCGGGAUAGUGUUGGGAAACUGGCAGUAAUACCGGAUAAUAUCUUUGGAUCAAAGGUGUGAUUCCGCUUCAGGAUCGGACCGCGUACUAUUAGCUUGUUGGUGGGGUAAUGGCCCACCAAGGCUCAGAUGGUUACCGGGUGUGAGAGCAUGACCCGGCUCACUGGGACUGAGACACUGCCCAGACAUCUACGGAUGGCUGCAGUCGAGAAUCUUCGGCAAUGGACGAAAGUCUGACCGAGCGACGCCGCGUGCGGGAUGAAGGCCCUCGGGUUGUAAACCGCUGUCAGUUAGGAGGAAAUCUAUGAGAGCACUCUCUCAUAGUUGACCGAUUUUCAGAGGAAGGACGGGCUAAGUUCGUGCCAGCAGCCGCGGUAAGACGAACCGUCCAAACGUUAUUCGGUAUCACUGGGCUUAAAGCGUGCGUAGGCGGCUUGAUAGGUGAGAUGUGAAAGCCCACGGCCCAACCGUGGAAUUGCGUUUCAAACCCUCAAGCUCGAGGAAGAUAGGGGUGAUGGGAACUUAUGGUGGAGCGGUGAAAUGCGUUGAUAUCAUAGGGAACACCGGUGGCGAAAGCGCAUCACUGGAUCUUUUCUGACGCUGAGGCACGAAAGCUAGGGUAGCGAACGGGAUUAGAUACCCCGGUAGUCCUAGCCGUAAACGAUGAGCACUGGGUUGAGGGAACUAUCACAUUCUCUCGGCCGUAGCGAAAGCG